AGCUCCAAUAGCGUAUAUUAAAGUUGUUGCAGUUAAAAAGCUCGUAGUUGAAUUUCUGCUGUGUCGACCUUGCGUUGCCUUGCAAUAGCUCGUGUUGAAGCAGCAUUCUUCACUGGGUCCUCACGGACUCGAUGGAGGCUUUACUUUGAGAAAAAUAGAGUGUUUCAAGCAGGCUGUGCCUUGAAUACUGCAGCAUGGAAUAAUGAAAUAAACCUGCAUUCUUGUUUCGUUGGUUCUGAAGAAUGAGUGAUGAUUAAUAGGGAUGGUUGGGGGUAUUUGUAUUCCACUGUCAGAGGUGAAAUUCUUAGAUUUGUGGGGGACAGACAACUGCGAAAGCAUCUACCAAGGACAUUCCCA
Molecule: ribosomal RNA, 357 nt
Filed under: uncultured eukaryote
Lineage: Eukaryota
Description: partial small subunit ribosomal RNA
Rfam family: Eukaryotic small subunit ribosomal RNA
Source: RNAcentral